This 290-nucleotide ribosomal RNA is filed under the name uncultured bacterium. RNAcentral's name for it is "partial 16S ribosomal RNA". It matches the Rfam family "Bacterial small subunit ribosomal RNA", at positions 335 to 622 of the family's 1533-position model. The record is from RNAcentral.
UCUCCUACGAGGGGCAGCAGUGAGGAAUAUUGGUCAAUGGUCGGGAGACUGAACCAGCCAAGCCGCGUGAGGGAUGAAGGUACAGAGUAUCGUAAACCUCUUUUGUCAGGGAACAAAGGCGGGGACGCGUCCCCGGAUGAGUGUACCUGAAGAAAAAGCAUCGGCUAACUCCGUGCCAGCAGCCGCGGUAAUACGGAGGAUUCGAGCGUUAUCCGGAUUUAUUGGGUUUAAAGGGAGCGUAGGCGGGUUGUUAAGUCAGUUGUGCAAGUUUGCGGCUCAACCGUAAAAUU